This 535-nucleotide ribosomal RNA is filed under the name uncultured Bacteroides sp. RNAcentral describes it as "bacterial SSU rRNA". It matches the Rfam family "Bacterial small subunit ribosomal RNA", at positions 164 to 715 of the family's 1533-position model. The record is from RNAcentral. Lineage: Bacteria; Pseudomonadati; Bacteroidota; Bacteroidia; Bacteroidales; Bacteroidaceae.
CAAGAGCACAUGCAAUUAAGAUUAAAGAAUUUCGGUAUGCGAUGGGGAUGCGUUCCAUUAGGUAGUAGGCGGGGUAACGGCCCACCUAGCCAUCGAUGGAUAGGGGUUCUGAGAGGAAGGUCCCCCACAUUGGAACUGAGACACGGUCCAAACUCCUACGGGAGGCAGCAGUGAGGAAUAUUGGUCAAUGGGCGCGAGCCUGAACCAGCCAAGUAGCGUGAAGGAUGACUGCCCUAUGGGUUGUAAACUUCUUUUGUCCGGGAAUAAAACCGCCUACGUGUAGGCGCUUGUAUGUACCGGUACGAAUAAGCAUCGGCUAACUCCGUGCCAGCAGCCGCGGUAAUACGGAGGAUGCGAGCGUUAUCCGGAUUUAUUGGGUUUAAAGGGAGCGCAGACGGGUUUUUAAGUCAGCUGUGAAAGUUUGGGGCUCAACCUUAAAAUUGCAGUUGAUACUGGAGACCUUGAGUGCAGUUGAGGCAGGCGGAAUUCGUGGUGUAGCGGUGAAAUGCUUAGAUAUCACGAAGAACUCCGAUUG